RNAcentral lists this ribosomal RNA (370 nucleotides) under Escherichia coli. RNAcentral's name for it is "bacterial SSU rRNA". It matches the Rfam family "Bacterial small subunit ribosomal RNA", at positions 292 to 654 of the family's 1533-position model. The record is from RNAcentral. Lineage: Bacteria; Pseudomonadati; Pseudomonadota; Gammaproteobacteria; Enterobacterales; Enterobacteriaceae.
CUGAGAGGAUGACCAGCCACACUGGAACUGAGACACGGUCCAGACUCCUACGGGAGGCAGCAGUGGGGAAUAUUGCACAAUGGGCGCAAGCCUGAUGCAGCCAUGCCGCGUGUAUGAAGAAGGCCUUCGGGUUGUAAAGUACUUUCAGCGGGGAGGAAGGGAGUAAAGUUAAUACCUUUGCUCAUUGACGUUACCCGCAGAAGAAGCACCGGCUAACUCCGUGCCAGCAGCCGCGGUAAUACGGAGGGUGCAAGCGUUAAUCGGAAUUACUGGGCGUAAAGCGCACGCAGGCGGUUUGUUAAGUCAGAUGUGAAAUCCCCGGGCUCAACCUGGGAACUGCAUCUGAUACUGGCAAGCUUGAGUCUCGUAG